UACAGGGGGGGCAAGCGUUGUUCGGAAUUACUGGGCGUAAAGGGUCUGUAGGUGGCCAACUAAGUCAGACGUGAAAUCCCUCAGCUUAACUGGGGAACUGCGUCUGAUACUGGAUGGCUUGAGUGUGGGAGAGGAAUGCGGAAUUCCUGGUGUAGCGGUGGAAUGCGCAGAUAUCAGGAGGAACACCGGUGGCGAAGGCGGGUCUCUGGGCAGUAACUGACGCUGAGGAGCGAAAGCGUGGGGAGCGAACAGG
This 253-nucleotide ribosomal RNA is filed under the name uncultured bacterium. Its description in RNAcentral is "partial 16S ribosomal RNA". It matches the Rfam family "Bacterial small subunit ribosomal RNA", at positions 524 to 776 of the family's 1533-position model. The record is from RNAcentral.